RNAcentral lists this ribosomal RNA (406 nucleotides) under Cephalodella gibba. Its description in RNAcentral is "partial small subunit ribosomal RNA". It matches the Rfam family "Eukaryotic small subunit ribosomal RNA", at positions 30 to 432 of the family's 1831-position model. The record is from RNAcentral. Lineage: Eukaryota; Metazoa; Rotifera; Eurotatoria; Ploima; Notommatidae.
GCUUGUCUCAAAGAUUAAGCCAUGCAUGUCUAAGUACAUACCUUUGCACGGUGAAACCGCGAAUGGCUCAUUAAAUCAGUUAUGGUUCCUUAGAUCGUUCAUAUUACAUGGAUAACUGUGGUAAUUCUAGAGCUAAUACAUGCAAAAAGCUCCGACCGUAUGGGAAGAGCGCUUUUAUUAGACCAAAACCAAUGGGGUGGCAACAUCCCUUUGUCUGGUGACUCUGGAUAACUUUGUGCUGAUCGCAUGGCCUCGAGCCGGCGACGUAUCUUUCAAGUGUCUGCCCUAUCAACUUUCGAUGGUAAGCGACUUGCCUACCAUGGUUGUAACGGGUAACGGGGAAUCAGGGUUCGAUUCCGGAGAGGGAGCAUGAGAAAUGGCUACCACAUCUACGGAAGGCAGCAGG